Molecule: unclassified non-coding RNA, 200 nt
Filed under: soil metagenome
Description: partial contains internal transcribed spacer 2 and large subunit ribosomal RNA
Source: RNAcentral
GCGUCAUUUAAACUCUCAAGCCCCGCUUGGUGUUGGGUGCAGGUCCCUCACGAGACCCGCCCGUAACUAGUUGGCGGUACCGUUCGGCUUCAAGCGUAGCAAGAAUUUUCCCUCGCUUCAGAAGCUCCGGGCGCGCCUGCCAGGGAAUCACACCCCUAAAGUUUGACCUCGGAUCAGGUAGGGAUACCCGCUGAACUUAA